UAGGUGGAGCUGUAGGUGUCGCUACUUCAGUGUGUUUUCAGUUCAUGAAAGUUAAUUGUAACAUUUUGGUCGCCUAAAGAAGUCUUGUUCAGCGCUACGUUGUGAUAAAAGACCCUCUAAGGAGUCGGAUGUUCAGUUUUUCCGUUUCAGCUAUUCAACAUGUGGAGAGUCGACAGAAAAGACGACAGGAGAGAGAGAAAUGCAACAAAGAUCCCCGACUGGAUUCAAACCAGGGACGUUGUGGUUCAUGUCACAAAUUAAGGCUGCAAUGAAGAGAAGCAGGCUGAGUACACUGAGCAAACUCCGACCACCAGUGAAGACUGUGAGAUGUGGUUAAAAGCUCUGAAAAAAGCAAGAGCUGGAGUUGAUGUUCUGGAAAAAGGUGAUCCUGCGAUUUCCCCAAUCAGGACCUGGUGACAUUUCCAGAAAUGUUAACUCCAGGCUUGAGCUUGUGAAAGGUUAUGACAUUUUUUCAUUAUACAUAAACAAAUAUAGUGUGCAAACCAAUCACAAGAGAGUCUGGGCCUGUGUUUUUCCCUCUGCAGAUUGUUCACAGCAAACAUUUGUUUGGAGCAGUGUGCUUAAUGAAGCGUGGAGCAAAGACUUUGCUCUUUUUAAUUAUCCAUUACAUGAACCAUUUCUCGUACUUGUUCUAUUGUGUUUCACUGUAUUCACAAUAUUUUCAUGUGUGUUUAUAAUGCACUUUGUUUGUUGUUUUAUAAAAGUGCUAUAGAAAUGAAGAUUGUCACAGACAGUAGCCAGUGUGAGCAGAGCCUGCAGCAGCCAGAAAAAUUCACACUGCAAUUUUUCAAGUUUCACAUGUUGCUCCUUUUGCACUACCCUCCCACCACUCUCUCUCUCUCUCUCUCUCUCUCUCUUUCUAUCCAAGUCUCCAUUCCCAUCCUUCCCUCUUCCUUCUCGUCACUCAUCUGUCACCCUCUUUUCCCAGUGUUUUCCUUCCUCUCACACUCUCAUUGUCCUCUCUCUCUCUCUCUCUCUCUCUCUCUCACUUUCUCUCAGAUGUCAGAGGCCCACAGGGUGUUGUAGUAAGUCUGUCAGUCACUUUCGUUUAGUGUUUGUAGUCUGUCCAGCCUCUCUGAUCCAUUAUAAAUAGCUCUAAGUGGCACAGCACUCCCUCUGCGCUGUCACUCAACACUGUCAAUUAAACUUUCUACUCAGCCUAAUUAAUCUGACCAGUUAGUCAGAAUAAAGAUUGAGGUGGACAUGAAACAGUUACAUCCUAAAUGUAGAAACCUAUUAGCUAAUUAUUAUUACAUGAGAAAAUAAAAAAAAGUCUAAUAUUCAUGUGUGUUCAUGCUGAAUCAUUUUGUUUACCUAAUUAGCAACACAGACAAGCAGGGAUCAGCCCCAGACGAUUUAUGUCAGAUGUUCAUUUGAUUUGACAGGCAGUGCUGUUAAUAUUUGAGGAAUUUUCAACGCUGCAUUAGGGAGUGUUCAAGGUCUCAACGUCUAUGAUGUAAUCUGCAGCUAGUCUUUCCAAAUGUCAGUCGGAAUAAAUACAUUUAGGGCUGAAGAUCCUCGUGGUUAUGACUGGGUUUACUGCAUCUGCUGUAUACUUCCAGAGAUUUAAGGUGGGUUUGACAGAUUAAUUUCUCUUCAUUGAGGUCUCUAGCUGAUUAGCCCAUAUGGAUCCUCCAGAACAUCCACUUUAUUUUAUUUUGUUGGACAGUCUGGGUCUAUUUUUUAUCUCAACACGUUUCUAAUAGGAUAUGGGGACUUGCCAAGUUUUCACAUUCUUGUUAUAUUAGAGUUCCAAUUCAGUGUAAUUAAGCGACCGUCUUGCAGAAUAGGAAUCUGAAUUACUUCACGCCCGAAAUUUUCCCUGGUGGAUUCACUGCUGUCUGGAUGUUAGUCGCCCUGAUUGACCGGAGGCUAUUAAUAUCUCAAAGACUUUCAAGGGUACAAAAGGACUAAACUAGUUCUCAUUUUCUGUAAUGUGGAGUGGAAAUAUUUUUGAUAUGAAAUAUGCUGUGUAAUCCCAAAUGCCUCCUGUAUUUUUUAUUUCUGUUUUGUGUGCGACAUUUAGUAUUGUAGAGGUUAUUUAUUGUUCUGUUUGUCACAGUACGUGAACAUCACACCCUAAAUUUGUCUCUUUUGCCUUAAAAAAAUCAGAAUUUCUCAAUUCACCUCACCUAGAAAACAAAUAAGUUUGAUUACCGAUGCUCUUGCCAUCUUUUAACACAAUGAAAUCAUGAGAUGAGACAAUAUUUCCCACCAGAAAAAAACAAACUUUUUUACUCUUUCACAUUUCAUUUCAGCUGGAGACAUAGAAAGUAUACUGCAGUUUUUGCAUUCUCACACUGCUAUCCUCACUUAGAGAGGGUGAUAAUAAUGAGAUGUGAUUACUGCCACAGUCAGUGAAAUUGAAACAAUGAUCAGCUAAGAGUGUUCAUUUCACAGUGAGACGUGUUAUAACAAUAUACUAUUUCAGUUUCAGUGAUUUCGGGGACAAAGCAGCAAGAAGAAAGACCUUUGAUUCACCCAGAAGAAUUAAGGACAAAGCUUUCACGGCAGCAACCACCUAUCCCGAUGAAGUGGCCGUGUUCCAGACACUGAAUCCCUGCCAGCUUCUGAGGACACUUUGACCCAUGACCCCUGUUGGGCAGCAAAGUAUAAGAAGACUUCUCCUACAUGACUGAAAAAGGGUAUUAUCACAUCUUAGCGAUUAUUACUGAGUGGGUAAACUGAGUAAUACUGUCACACUGUUUCACACGCUGCCUAGUCACAACUUGUCUAGACGUUACCAUGCUCCCCCGACACGCACCCACUCCAAAUCCUGUUACCGCCGGCAGCCUGCGCCACAAUAACCUACAUUCCACAGUAAUCACACUGACUGACUGAGGCGUCUGAUGGUGUCGGAGGCACGUUGGAAAAACGGCAGCAAAUCCUGGUGACAGAGAACGAGGCUGCUGACAUCCAGAGAGGGGAGGGAGGGAGAGCGUUUUUCUUUUGUGCAUUCAAAUCUUAUUUGGAAAAGGGAGGAUAUGCAUUUUUGAGGACCGUGUUGCUGUGGCUGUGCUCCAAGCUUCUAUCAGCUCUGAGAAAAGAAGAGGCAGGGAUUCAGGCUGGCUCUGACACACACACACACAUACACACACACUGUAAUACCAUUGCACAGAAACAAAUGUCUUUCUCAACAUUUAGUUUAAAUUUAUUUUGACUAGAAGGUGAGACAGUUUUGGCUACACCACAACAUAAUUGGCAAGGACAGCACACUAACUUCUGACUUCUUCUAUUGUGGUUUGGGCAGCAAUUUGAGACAGCAUUUGAGUAGACAGCAGCUAAUAAUAAAUAAUCCACUAAAGCAAUAUGCUAACAGCAUCGGAAUGAAAAUAGUAUAAGACAGGGCAAUUUAGACAUGUUGUUAUGUGUAUUCUUUUGGGAAACACAACCUUAUAUAGUGCUGAUAAAAUAACUGAGUUAAGGUAUAUACCCAAACAAUACAUUUUUAACCCCUUUUUGUCUUGUUUAUAAUUAAAAUUAGAAACAGCUUAAUCAAAUAAUGCCCUUUGAGGACGUCUAGUGCUCUGAAGUCUAUAGAAAUCACUCAUACACGCACUAACAGACACACAGCAGAGACGGAGGCAAAGCAAGAAAACAGGAGGGAUGGGGGACGUGCACGCGCAUGCUCGGCCACGCGGCACCAGGGCUCAGAUUUGGCUGCUCCUCGGCUUCUCCGGGCGCUUGAUGCACGGCGUCCCCGACUGACACGCCUUGUGUAUCUCCUCCCAUCAGCCACAGGAAGAAAUCAUAUUCAAUUCCAGCCGUGUCAUUAGAAAAACUACACCGCCCAGGCAGAAUUAUAAAUUGGUAUUGAAUGGGAGAUGGUGACUGAAUGUUGGAGGACAUUUGUCGCCAAUAUUUGCAUAAUGUGAUUUUUUUUUCCAACAAGUAUCAGGAAAUGAAUCUGCCCAUUUAGCCAUGCGCAAAUUAGUGUUAAAUUGGGAUGAUUGCCGGAUUGCGCGCAUGUGCAUUAACUACUGAAAUGAAUCACACUGACCCUAUAAGACAUUUUAGGAGGAUACUAUAGAUUACUACAGCAAAUGAAUGAAUCCAUAUGAAAAUAUUACAGCCUAUAAAAUGUUAGAGUUUAUCCUUCCAGAGGGAAAAAUUCACAAUAAAGUCAUUGAGUUUUAAUUUA
Molecule: long non-coding RNA, 4162 nt
Organism: Thunnus maccoyii (southern bluefin tuna)
Lineage: Eukaryota; Metazoa; Chordata; Actinopteri; Scombriformes; Scombridae
Exons: 4
Source: RefSeq, a predicted model, not a curated record